Molecule: transfer RNA, 73 nt
Filed under: Tremella mesenterica DSM 1558
Lineage: Eukaryota; Fungi; Basidiomycota; Tremellomycetes; Tremellales; Tremellaceae
Description: tRNA-Gln (TTG) (tRNA-Gln-TTG-1-1)
Rfam family: tRNA
About the family: Transfer RNA (tRNA) molecules are approximately 80 nucleotides in length. Their secondary structure includes four short double-helical elements and three loops (D, anti-codon, and T loops).
Source: RNAcentral
GCUCGUGUAGUGUAGUGGCGAUCACGCAUGAUUUUGAUUCAUGAUGUCCCUGGUUCAAACCCAGGCACGAGCU